RNAcentral lists this non-coding RNA (45 nucleotides) under Cervus elaphus hippelaphus. The record is from RNAcentral. Lineage: Eukaryota; Metazoa; Chordata; Mammalia; Artiodactyla; Cervidae.
UGGUUCAAGUGUAGUGGUGUCUACAGUUAAUCGAUUAAAGUCAGU